UACGUAGGGUGCAAGCGUUGUCCGGAAUUAUUGGGCGUAAAGAGCUCGUAGGUGGCCUGUCGCGUCGGCUGUGAAAACUCGGGGCUCAACUCCGGGUCUGCAGUCGAUACGGGCAGACUUGAGUGUUGCAGGGGAGACUGGAAUUCCUGGUGUAGCGGUGAAAUGCGCAGAUAUCAGGAGGAACACCGGUGGCGAAGGCGGGUCUCUGGGCAACAACUGACGCUGAGGAGCGAAAGCGUGGGGAGCAAACAGG
Molecule: ribosomal RNA, 253 nt
Filed under: uncultured bacterium
Lineage: Bacteria
Description: partial 16S ribosomal RNA
Rfam family: Bacterial small subunit ribosomal RNA
Source: RNAcentral